This 395-nucleotide ribosomal RNA is filed under the name uncultured bacterium. Its description in RNAcentral is "partial 16S ribosomal RNA". It matches the Rfam family "Bacterial small subunit ribosomal RNA", at positions 523 to 918 of the family's 1533-position model. The record is from RNAcentral.
AUACGUAGGGUGCAAGCGUUAAUCGGAAUUACUGGGCGUAAAGCGUGCGCAGGCGGUUUUGUAAGACAGAGGGGAAAUCCCCGGGCUCAACCUGGGAACUGCCUUUGUGACUGCAAGGCUAGAGUACGGCAGAGGGGGAUGGAAUUCCGCGUGUAGCAGUGAAAUGCGUAGAUAUGCGGAGGAACACCGCAGGCGAAGGCAAUUCCCCGGGCCUGUACUGACGCUCAUGCACGAAAGCGAGGGGAGCAAACAGGAUUAGAUACCCUGGUAGUCCACGCCCUAAACGAUUUCAACUGGUUGUUGGGUCUUCAGUGACUCAGUAACGAAGCUAACGCGUGAAGUUGACCGCCUGGGGAGUACGGCCGCAAGGUUGAAACUCAAAUGAAUUGACGGGG